AGCACAAAAAUAUUAGCCAGAAUGUUUAUUUAGGAAUAAGAAUGGAGCAGGUUCUGGCUUGGAAUUUCUAAAUCUGUUCUUCUUAGUGUCAGGCUAAGGGGCAUCAAACUUUUCUGCCUUUCAUUUAUAGGCACCAUUAUGGAUAAUAUAUUUGUAUAUAUGCUAAUCAUUUAUCUUAAAGGAUUGAUUAGACUUUUUUCUUUAACUAAAUCUUCCAUCAUUUCAUGUCCUAAGUAUGAUACCUAUCUGUCCAGUGAGGUGGGCCACACCUGGUUAGAUGUCAGUGUGGUUGAAGCACAGAGAGCCCAUGAACUUUGACAGAAAAAUACUGCAUGAAGGGACCAUCUGUCUUUUCUAGCAUGAUACAGAUAUGUUUUUACUUUGGAGAGGUUUAGCUACUCUUUCAAGAAAAAAAUAGUACACAGGUUUUUUUUUGGGGGGGAUCAGGUGUGUGUAAAAAAAGGUUACACAAUUUUUUUCAUGGAUGUUCUCCCUCCAGAGGAACAUGUCCAAUACCACUACAGUGAUAGACAUCAUAAAAGUGUGCCUAAAAGGGCUAAGUUUUUAUUAUGAAGUAUGUUGUGAGGGACAAAGCCAGGGAAAAACAUUCUGUGCUACUCAUUAACCUACACAUAAUUAGUCAACCUGGAGUUACUUCUAACAGAAGUUGUUGGACCACUUGGGAGUCAUAGUGUGCUGUGGCAUGCCAUCUGUUAGGUGCUUUGUCAGAGCCAUGGACCCCAAUGAGACCGUGAGGGAAGGGUCAUCCAGAGACAUACUGAUAUUUGUAGAUGGAAUGUUAGCUCUACUUAGGUUUAAGCUAGUCCUCUCCUAAUGGAUCAGAUCCAAGCUGCAGUUGACACCUAUGCCACAGCUAUGGCCACACUGGAUUCUUUAACCCACUGUGCUGGGCUGGGGAUCAAACCCGCAUCCUGGCGCUGUGGAGGCGCCUCCAAUCCUAUUGCAUCACAGCGGGAACUCCUCCCAAGGAUAUUUGCCACACAGGAUCCCGAGGGCCAGGGCAGUUCAGAAUCAGCAACAAUUUAUGGAUCCUUGUUUUAAAGAGGAGAUUUCUUGGUGGGGACUGUUACAAGGAUUUAGAAACAUUAAGCUUUACAUUGUGUGUUGCAUUCUAGUUGGUAGAGAUAAUAAGAUGCUUUCAUUCUUCAUUACCCGGUAAGCACUGGGGGUUCUCCAAUGGAAGAAUGUGCUAGUUGGGAGAAUGCCAAUGGGAAUCUACUUUCAUUUUGGAUUCCAUCCCUUGAGCUUCCACAAUAUGACAGUGACAAUCAUCACUUCAACUCUGUACCUUGAUUUUAAUACAUUUUAAAUAUUUUACUAAAUAUUACGUAUUAAAUAAGCAAUAUUUAAAUGCUUAUUUAAAUAUUUAUAUUAAAUAUAAAUAAGCAUUUAAAUAAAUAGUUAAGUGUAUGUUGCUCCUGCAACAUCAUUCAUUUAUUCAAGAGAUAGUUACUGAGCACCUUUUUUAUAGUAGACAGUAUUCUAGACACAGGAGAUCCAGCGGUGUAUGAGACGAAGUCACUGCUCACAUGGAAGGUGCAUCCUAAGGAUUUUUCAAUAGGAUGUCAAUAUAGAACAAAGCUUCAGAUAUAUUAGGAGAGGAAUCCCUGAGAACUGUUUGACUAGUCUAUCUAGUCCACUACUUCAUCUGAUAAUGGCAUCUACAACACAAAUAUCCUGGCAUACUCAAAGUUCUGAAUGUACCCCUUUACCCUAAUCCUAUUUUUUUUUUCUUUUUAUGGCUGAACUUGCAGCAUAUGGAAGUUCCAGGGCUGGGGUUUGAAUCUGAGCCACAUCUGUGACCUAUGCUGUAGCUUGCAGCAACACCCGAUCCUUAACUCACUGAGUGAGGCCAGGGAUCAAAUGCACAUCCUCAGGGAGACAACAUUAGGUCCUUAACCUGCUGAGCCACAUCAGGAACUCCCCCUAAUCAUAAUUUUAAAGUAAUUCCCUGAACUUGCUUUGCUUCUUUUGAUCUUCUUCCAUUUUUAGUCUAUAAGAUCAUUCAGGCAAAUGAGUUAUCCAUAGAUUAACUAAUGACUAUUUACAUGCACCUUUCUUAAUUUUUCUGGGCCUAGCUAUCUCCUAAAUUUAACAUGCUUAAAUGAAAAAUUUUUUCUCUUUUCUCAGAGUCAAUAUCAUUGUCAGUAGUAACCAUGUUUUCAUAACAAUCUUUUUUGUUGUUAACAGUUGCUGGUUGUUCCUACAGUUUCUACCUCAUUCACUCUAUGAAUUCCUGGCCUAAGUGGCUAAAUUACGCAUUUCGACCCUGCACUAAUACUCAUGGUAUUCUGUAGGGUCUUUUCACAUCAAUGUCCCACUUCUCAAUGAAAUGAAACACUUCUGGAGGCCACACACCAGAUUCGGUGCUGCUUUCUUUCUCAGAUUCUGACAUUGUAUCUAGCACCUCAGAGAACUGAUACUUAUUGCUUAUCAAUGAAUGCAGUCACUAUUAGAUCUGUUUUCACCACAUCAUUCCCUUUCUGAGCUCACAGAGUUAUCUGGGUUUUCUAUAAUGUCUACUUUUCCAUGAUGAAGAGGUAUGUAAAAUUAGAUUGUCUCGGAUGUUCACCUGAAUCAUAGCCCUGCUGCUUCCCAGCCCCUAAGUCAUAUUAGCCGGGGCCUGGUCUCUGGGAUUCCAGGUCAGCCUCAAGAACUAUGACAAUCCUUGGAUGAAUGUACGUCUGACUACUGUUUUCUUUGGCCAAAGCAAUUUACUCUCUCUGCCAGGAGCUGAGAUGUGUGGACUCAUACCCCUUGGCCAUUCUGGUGGGGCAGCUCAGCUCCAAGCCAUCUGGGGCCUUUUUCUGCUUGGCAGAUAGUUGGUGAGGCAGCAGCUGCCAUGACUUCCUAAAAACCCAGGAGCAAGAGCCUAGCCAAUAAACCUCUGUCUCGGGGUGCAAUGUUAUUGAAAAGAGCAGACCCACAAUAAACUGGCUCUACCCUUUUAUUAAACUCUUCCUUCAGCCAGCAAGUGCUGUCCUUCCUGGUCUGAACCAGUCCCAGGCAAUUUGUUUAAAUUCAGAUUCAUACCUCCUUAAGACAUUGGAAAGUUGGUGAUGUGUUUUGGUGCUUUUAGGUGAGAGUGUAAACAAGACAUCAAUGACAUUCUUAGGAGGAGUAAUAAGGCUGACUAUUUGGGUGAUAAACCUGCUGAUAUUACUGGGUGUAUGAAAUGAAGAAAUGAAACCAUAAGGAGAUUCAAUUACAGCUACUUUCAGACAACAUUCUAGUACCAGGCAGCAUGCAGGUGUUUUUCAGUCUUUCCCUGUCAUAAGUAAUAUAAUCAGUGGACAAACUGACUCUUGGAAUAUAAAAGGGAUACUCUUUAUGAACAGCCUAAGCUGGAUUAAUGCCACUUUAUGAGGUGUACGUCAACCUUCUGCAAAAAUAAAAAUAAACUUUAUUUUUGUCUCACACGCACAGAACAAUUUAAUGUUAAAUGAAUGUAAAAAUGAAAAGUGCCUUGCUCCAAGUAAAGUAUGCUGCCUACCACGGCUGUGUAAACACAACUCAAUUGCUAUGAGAAUUAAAGAUGGAUCAACAAAAUCAAUAGUUAAUUGUGUAACUCAGGGUCUUUCAUUUUCAGAUCUAAUCUGUAAAGAAGGUCCAGGGGAUGUUUGCUUUUGAUUUUCCUAAAAUAUUAUUUAAAACCUUUCUGGCAGGCAAAGGAGUUCACCGGGUCUUUACAUCAUUUCCAUAAGUUAUUUGGCUGCUGAGUGGUCAAGGUCAUAUUGAUCACUCAGCCUCACCAGUUUUCAUUUUAAAAUUCAGUAGCUUUAUCAGUCAAGCUGCCUUACUUCUGGUAUCUGGGCUGCGCUGAUGCCAAACACACUUUCUUUCAAAAAUAACCCAACAUAAUAGGUGUCUUGGUACUAGACAUGGGUGCAUUAGUUGUAUAUUGGUCUAUUUCACAAUCCUAUCCAUAGCAGUUAAAUAGCUACAUAACCACCCCAUCCCCCAUGAGCAUCCCCCAUUGUGCUGUGGAGAUGCACAAUUUUGUGCAAUAUGGCAAACUAUGGAAGGUUGAGUUGAGCUGUAUGAACAAAUAUGCUAUCUGUUCCAACAUUCCACAAGGGGCCAGGGGAGGGGUUGGUGCUUGAAUAGAACCUAAAAAAAUUCUCCCAAUCUCAUUAGCCCAAAUGGAUGAGAGCGGAAGGAGGGUAGGCAGGCCUCCUUUGCAAAGGCAAUAAUAGCACAAUAACAUCCAGAAGACCACGGGGGUAACAGAUAGAUUGCCUUGACCCCAGUUAUAUUACAGAAGAGCUAAAAAUGUAAUGUUUGAACUUCUUUUCCCUUUAAAAUAUAACCUUUCAUAUAAUGAGUUAAGCCUCACUCUCUCUUACAUAUUGUUGAGACAUCCAUUUUGGGGGCUGAAGGCAAAAUCAUUCUUGAAAUAAUGAAUCAUUUUUCUUUUGCCAGCUUGUCCAGAAAUCCCAUGAUUAUUUUACUGUUGCAGACAAUGACCUUCUCAAAGAAGGCCUAUCAAACACUCCAAAUAAAUAAUGAGAGGGUCUCCUUCUCUGGCCUCAAGAAAAAAAUUGCGGAAAGGGAAAAUGUGUGUGAUAACAUCAAUAUGUUCAUCCUAGGAUGGGAAGCAGCACGUUUUGAGUGAAAAGCAGCUGCACAUGUGUUUAUGUGUGACUGGUGGCCUCAUUUAACAGGACUUCUGGGGCUGUGUCCUUGGAGGGACCUUGGCAGAGAAACACCCAAGCUUUUCACCCAGUAACAUUGGAAACACAUGAUUGGCUGAUGAUAGGCAGAGCAAGUUUUAAACCUUUUGACUUGUGAACAAGUUAACUAAAGUCUCUGGUUAAUAACAGUGCCUUCCAACAAUCUAGGAAACCAUGGUUCUGACUUCUUAGGUCCAGGAGCUAAGAUUAAUCAUAGAAAAUUCUGCUCUCCCUCCCACCUCCUGCCUUCCCACCGGGCACAGAUCUUCAGGGGGUGAAAGGAACCAUUCCUUUUGUUUUGCCUAUGAAGCAAGGUUUUAGAAA
This 5018-nucleotide long non-coding RNA is filed under the name Sus scrofa (pig). RNAcentral describes it as "lncRNA (ENSSSCG00030040895.1)". Lineage: Eukaryota; Metazoa; Chordata; Mammalia; Artiodactyla; Suidae. The record is from RNAcentral.